Long non-coding RNA from Thalassophryne amazonica, 234 nucleotides. RefSeq lists it as uncharacterized. The record is from RefSeq and is a predicted model, not a curated record. NCBI's taxonomy places the organism in Eukaryota, Metazoa, Chordata, Actinopteri, Batrachoidiformes, Batrachoididae. The transcript has 3 exons.
UGUUCAAGGACUGUUCACUUUCUGGAUGCAAAAAAUUCAGCCAUGGUCCCUUGUUAAGCUUGUUCACUUUUUACCAUAAAUAUGUGCAAUGUUGAAAGCAAAGCACUGUGAUUGUUUUAUCACUCACAAUAGACAAAACUUGAUUAGCCAUUAAAACCCAUUGGUGUGAUAAUAUUUCACACCAAAAUGUGUUUUAUUGGCAAAUUAAGUUCUUUUACAGCAAAUGAAGAACUG